Non-coding RNA from Bombyx mori (domestic silkworm), 101 nucleotides. RefSeq annotates it as microRNA mir-87. Lineage: Eukaryota; Metazoa; Arthropoda; Insecta; Lepidoptera; Bombycidae. The transcript has a single exon. The record is from RefSeq and is marked provisional.
UGAAGAAGUUCGGUACACUAAUGGGCCUGAAUCGUUGCUCAGACCUGUAUUUUCGACCAGGUGAGCAAACUUUCAGGUGUGUUAGUGCCGGCUGGUCUACA